GACGAACGCUGGCGGCGCGCCUAACACAUGCAAGUCGAACGAGAGAUGAGGAGCUUGCUCUUCAAAUCGAGUGGCGAACGGGUGAGUAACGCGUGAGGAACCUGCCUCAAAGAGGGGGACAACAGUUGGAAACGACUGCUAAUACCGCAUAAGCCCACGGGUCGGCAUCGACCAGAGGGAAAAGGAGCAAUCCGCUUUGAGAUGGCCUCGCGUCCGAUUAGCUAGUUGGUGAGGUAAUGGCCCACCAAGGCGACGAUCGGUAGCCGGACUGAGAGGUUGAACGGCCACAUUGGGACUGAGACACGGCCCAGACUCCUACGGGAGGCAGCAGUGGGGAAUAUUGCACAAUGGGGGAAACCCUGAUGCAGCGACGCCGCGUGGAGGAAGAAGGUCUUCGGAUUGGUAAACUCCUGUUGUUGAGGAAGAUAAUGACGGUACUCAACAAGGAAGUGACGGCUAACUACGUG
RNAcentral lists this ribosomal RNA (467 nucleotides) under uncultured bacterium. RNAcentral's name for it is "bacterial SSU rRNA". It matches the Rfam family "Bacterial small subunit ribosomal RNA", at positions 28 to 507 of the family's 1533-position model. The record is from RNAcentral.